UAAUCUCCAUUAAUAGGCAGUGAAGAACAAAAAACGGUCUCGUCACGGGACAUGUAACAGCUAAAGUAACACUAACAUUAAUGAAACAAAGCGAAAGUAAAAGUAAAAGAUUUUAAGAGAGGAGAAGCAGAGGAAAAUUAGUGGGCUCACCUAUAUAGUCCAUGGACUCAAGCUUUGAUCGCGUCUCAGCGGCGGAUAUGCCGUCGCCACAGUCGAGGAGAAGGACUCUAAGUCCCUUUGGAAAAUUUUCCCAUUUUGAUAUAUCGUUAGAGGUAAAGACCAUAGCUGGUUUUGCAUCGUUUUUGCGGCCAACACCGCCGCUUCUCUCCUCCGUCACUGUGGCUGCCGGUAGAUUCUACGGGGAACGAAAUCACUGUCUAUAUUUUGAUCAAAAACAAAACAAUAAAAAAGGGAAUAAGUGUGUUAGUGGAAUAAGCAUAGAAAAGUAAAAAGGUGUGUAUUAUUGAUGAGAUAAGAAUAAUUCAUGAGGAUCUUGAUUUUGUUAUAAUAAAGAGUGGACCACCACCAUGCCAUGAAAUCUAACAAAGCUUUGAAUCAUCUGAGAGUGUGAAUACAUAUUUUAAUAAUUAGUUAAAAAAAUUAUUACAUCUUAAUUGUUGUUAACUCGUGCAUGCAGUAUGUAUAUCUAAUGAUUAAACUGGUUUAACACAGAUUAAUGACAAACCAAAGAAGUAGAAAAGGCAAAAUCCCUCUAGAAUUUUUUUUAAAAUAAUAAUAAUAUUAUAAAUUAAGAGAAGAAGAGAAAUACACAGAGAGAAAAUCUAUGAUCAAAUCAAAAAGUUACACCUUUUGAAUAAACAAAUUUAAGGAAAUUUUCAGAAGAAGGAAAAAAUCUCAAAUCCAGUGUUCCCAGAGAAGAGAUGCUUUCAUCACAUGCAAUGAACAUAUACUUUAUCAAAAGAAAACACAAAGCUUGUAACUGAAUAAAAACAAACUUUUACAAUCCAGAAGUCAAAUUGAAAGAAAUAAAUUAAGGGUAAUUUCAUUUUUUUAAAAUGUCUCAUCAUACCUGAGAGUAUUUGUUGCAGAUCUGCUUAGACCCCUUCCUCAAGCUCUUUCUCCCUCUUUCUUUCUCUUUUGUCCUUGCUCACAUUCAAAAUUAAAUCCUUUGGGUAGAAAUGGUGACUUUUAGAGAGAGAAAAUGGAUGAAGAGUUAUGAUAAGUUGGUGACUAGUGUUGUUAUUGUCAUUGAGUUAUACAGAAGAUAUAAGGAAUCAAAAAGCCUCAGUAAGAUAAAGUUUUUUUUCUCACUAAGAUAAAGGUUAAUGAAUUGAAUUUAGAAAAGGGGAGAUUAAAAGUUAAUUUAUUUUUGACUUUUUAAGUAAUAUAUAUUAUAAGAUUAUUUUCCUAUCAACAUAAAAUAGAAAAGUUAGAAUUUUCAUAAUCUUAUCUAUUAAAAUAGAAAUUUAAAAAAAAAAAUCCAUGUGUGAUUUCUUAAAUUGAACUGUCCUAAAUAAAAUUUAAUGAAUUUGCUUUUGUAUUUAUAUAAUAAUAUCACAACAAUAAAGAAGAUUAAGAUUAAUAUCUCAACAAUAAUUACCAUUGAAAAUUACAUUAAUCUUAUUUUUUUAAUUAAUAACAAUCUUUGUACGGAAUUAUUUUAAAAUUUAAAUAAUAAUUCUAUCGAAAACAGAAAUAAUUUUCAUUAUGCGUUUAUAAAAGUUACUUUAGAAACAAGUUCAACAACAGAGAAGGCAGUGAAGAACAAAAAACGGUCUCGUCACGGGACAUGUAACAGCUAAAGUAACACUAACAUUAAUGAAACAAAGCGAAAGUAAAAGUAAGAGAUUUUAAGAGAGGAGAAGCAGAGGAAAAUUAGUGGGCUCACCUAUAUAGUCCAUGGACUCAAGCUUUGAUCGCGUCUCAGCGGCGGAUAUGCCGUCGCCACAGUCGAGGAGAAGGACUCUAAGUCCCUUUGGAAAAUUUUCCCAUUUUGAUAUAUCGUUAGAGGUAAAGACCAUAGCUGGUUUUGCAUCGUUUUUGCGGCCAACACCGCCGCUUCUCUCCUCCGUCACUGUGGUUGCCGGUAGAUUCUACGGGGAACGAAAUCACUGUCUAUAUUUUGAUCAAAAACAAUAUAAAAUGGAAUAAGUGUGUUAGUGGAAUAAGCAUAGAAAAGUAAAAAGGUGUGUAUUAUUGAUGAGAUAAGAAUAAUUCAUGAGGAUCUUGAUUUUGUUAUAAUAAAGAGUGGACCACCACCAUGCCAUGAAAUCUAACAAAGCUUUGAAUCAUCUGAGAGUGUG
RNAcentral lists this long non-coding RNA (2264 nucleotides) under Brassica napus (rape). Its description in RNAcentral is "long non-coding RNA (BNAP_LNC007919)". Lineage: Eukaryota; Viridiplantae; Streptophyta; Magnoliopsida; Brassicales; Brassicaceae. The record is from RNAcentral.